RNAcentral lists this ribosomal RNA (494 nucleotides) under uncultured bacterium. Its description in RNAcentral is "partial 16S ribosomal RNA". It matches the Rfam family "Bacterial small subunit ribosomal RNA", at positions 28 to 506 of the family's 1533-position model. The record is from RNAcentral.
GACGAACGCUGGCGGCGUGCCUAAUACAUGCAAGUAGAACGCUGAAGGAGGAGCUUGCUUCUCUGGAUGAGUUGCGAACGGGUGAGUAACGCGUAGGUAACCUGCCUGGUAGCGGGGGAUAACUAUUGGAAACGAUAGCUAAUACCGCAUAACAGUAGAUAUCGCAUGAUAUCUACUUGAAAGGUGCAAUUGCAUCACUACCAGAUGGACCUGCGUUGUAUUAGCUAGUUGGUGAGGUAACGGCUCACCAAGGCGACGAUACAUAGCCGACCUGAGAGGGUGAUCGGCCACACUGGGACUGAGACACGGCCCAGACUCCUACGGGAGGCAGCAGUAGGGAAUCUUCGGCAAUGGACGGAAGUCUGACCGAGCAACGCCGCGUGAGUGAAGAAGGUGUUCGGAUCGUAAAGCUCUGUUGUAAGAGAAGAACGAGUGUGAGAGUGGAAAGUUCACACUGUGACGGUAUCUUACCAGAAAGGGACGGCUAACUACGU